This is a long non-coding RNA of Oreochromis aureus, 212 nucleotides long. RefSeq lists it as uncharacterized. The transcript is spliced from 2 exons. NCBI's taxonomy places the organism in Eukaryota, Metazoa, Chordata, Actinopteri, Cichliformes, Cichlidae. The record is from RefSeq and is a predicted model, not a curated record.
UAAUAAUAACCACAGCAACCAAGAAGAGUGCCUGAGGAGCCCAGCUGAGUAGCGAGAGACGAGAGGGCAGCGAGCACGGGGUGCUCAUCACGGAGAAGCGGAGACAGGAGCACUAACACUGGGAAGAGGACACGUCACGGGAGUCGGGAGAGCACGGGAUUUAUUGUCAUGUUUUUCCAUCACUGUAAAUAAACGCACUGCUUGUACUAAGA